Molecule: ribosomal RNA, 275 nt
Filed under: uncultured bacterium
Lineage: Bacteria
Description: partial 16S ribosomal RNA
Rfam family: Bacterial small subunit ribosomal RNA
Source: RNAcentral
AUACGUAGGGGGCAAGCGUUGUCCGGAAUUACUGGCCGUAAAGAGCUCGUAGGCGGCUCAGCAAGUCGGUCGUGAAAGCCCGAGGCUCAACCUCGGAACUGCGGUCGAUACUGCUGUGGCUAGAGUCCGGUAGAGGAGAGUGGAAUUCCCGGUGUAGCGGUGGAAUGCGCAGAUAUCGGGAGGAACACCAGUGGCGAAGGCGGCUCUCUGGGCCGGUACUGACGCUGAGGAGCGAAAGCGUGGGGAGCAAACAGGAUUAGAAACCCUAGUAGUCC